GAACCCGGCUGUAACCGUGGAACUGCCGGAGGCUCACCGUGAGCUAGAGACAGAAGCUGCAGGGCCCAACGGGAAGCUACCUCGUGUCUCCAGGCUCUGGCAAGGGUAAAAGCAACCAUUUAAAACACGGAACACUCUGUUCUUAACAGGUCUGCCAUCAGAAGAGCUGUUCUACCACGGCAUAGCCUGCCUGAGGGAGGUCAUACCAAGACAUGGCUUCCUCUAGCUCGCCUAACUAAGCUAGAGGGGAAGAAGAAGCCAGCUGGGGAAGAAGUGAUGAAGCUCGCCGUUGGGGUGCAGGCUGAACAAAGACAGAGACAAAUUACAGGACUGCGUGCGGGUCCCUUUGUUCGCCUCACCGUGGCUCGCUCGCCUUGCUGACACAGUGCCACGGACAUAUUCAUCUACUAAAGCGGUGCCUCUCG
Molecule: long non-coding RNA, 425 nt
Filed under: Mus musculus (house mouse)
Lineage: Eukaryota; Metazoa; Chordata; Mammalia; Rodentia; Muridae
Description: long non-coding RNA chr15:99919873-99920298
Source: RNAcentral